This is a small nuclear RNA of Solanum stenotomum, 195 nucleotides long. RefSeq annotates it as U2 spliceosomal RNA. The record is from RefSeq and is a predicted model, not a curated record. The transcript has a single exon. NCBI's taxonomy places the organism in Eukaryota, Viridiplantae, Streptophyta, Magnoliopsida, Solanales, Solanaceae.
UUACCUUUCUUGGCCUUUUGGCUAAGAUAAAGUGUAGUAUCUGUUCUUAUCAGUUUUAUAUUUGAUAUGUGGUCCAUCAGUUCACGUGAUAUUCACUUAUUUUUAAGGAGAAGGGUCUAUCCAGAUAGCUUGCGAUAUGGGCCCUUUACGUCUCUCCUAGGUGUUGCACUAUAGCCCAAGCCUGGCGUACCCCAC